This 464-nucleotide ribosomal RNA is filed under the name uncultured Desulfuromonadales bacterium. Its description in RNAcentral is "bacterial SSU rRNA". It matches the Rfam family "Bacterial small subunit ribosomal RNA", at positions 29 to 467 of the family's 1533-position model. Lineage: Bacteria; Pseudomonadati; Thermodesulfobacteriota; Desulfuromonadia; Desulfuromonadales. The record is from RNAcentral.
AACGAACGCUGGCGGCGUGCUUAACACAUGCAAGUCGAACGGGAACAGUUCCUUCGGGAACUUAGUAGAGUGGCGCACGGGUGAGUAACACGUAGGUAACCUGCCUCUUGCUGGGGAACAACUCCGGGAAACCGAAGCUAAUUCCGCAUAAGUCCUCCGAAUCGCGGUUCGGAGGAGAAAGGUGGCCUCUUCAUGAAAGCUAUCGGCGAGAGAUGGGCCUGCGCAUCAUUAGCUAGUUGGUAGGGUAAUGGCCUACCAAGGCUACGAUGGUUAGCUGGUCUGAGAGGAUGAUCAGCCACACUGGAACUGAGACACGGUCCAGACUCCUACGGGAGGCAGCAGUGGGGAAUAUUGCGCAAUGGGCGAAAGCCUGACGCAGCAACGCCGCGUGAGUGAUGAAGGCCUUCGGGUCGUAAAGCUCUGUCGGGAGGAACGAAUACCCGCUUGGAACAACACCCAAGCGG